This 254-nucleotide ribosomal RNA is filed under the name uncultured bacterium. RNAcentral's name for it is "partial 16S ribosomal RNA". It matches the Rfam family "Bacterial small subunit ribosomal RNA", at positions 524 to 776 of the family's 1533-position model. The record is from RNAcentral.
UACGGAGGGUGCGAGCGUUGUCCGGAAUCAUUGGGCGUAAAGGGCGCGUAGGUGGCCCGGUCAGUCUUUGGUGAAAGCGCGGGGCUCAACCCUGCGUCGGCCAGGGAUACUGCCGCGGCUCGAGCACUGUAGAGGCAGGCGGAAUUCCGGGUGUAGCGGUGGAAUGCGUAGAGAUCCGGAAGAACACCGGUGGCGAAGGCGGCCCACUGGUCCGGUACUGACGCUGAGGUGCGAAAGCGUGGGGAGCAAACAGG